GUCAAGAAUAUUAGUCAAUGCUCGCAAGAGUGAACCUAGCUAACUGAAUCCUUGGUGUGUCAUCGAGGAUAACGUAAGGGAAAAUAAUGAUAUUACCUUACUAUUAGUGUCGUCCAAGUAUCUGUGCCAGAAGACUCGGUAAGGCGAGAGACGCAAACGUUAGUCGUCUUGAUCAGGCGUAAAGGGUUUGUAGGCGGCUUUAAGUAUCUUAUUUUUAGUUUACUAUUUUAAUGUUUAUAAUUAUAAUUGAAUUUUUAAUGAUAAAAAAGAAAAUUUUUUAAAUAUUGGUCGGGCUUUAGUCUGCCAUCAUUUAUAGAUUACUAAUUAUAUUUACAUUAAAAAAAUAAAGAAAGGAUCAAUUAAAGCUAGAAUCUAAAAGAGGUUAAAACAAUACUCUUCAAAGGAGUGCUAACCGUAGAUAAGGAGCAGAGUGUUAAGGGCGAAGGCAUUUAUCCAAUAAAGAUUGACGCUGAGAAACGAAGGUGAGGGCAGAAAAAA
RNAcentral lists this ribosomal RNA (498 nucleotides) under Trichaptum fuscoviolaceum. RNAcentral describes it as "partial small subunit ribosomal RNA". It matches the Rfam family "Bacterial small subunit ribosomal RNA", at positions 354 to 774 of the family's 1533-position model. Lineage: Eukaryota; Fungi; Basidiomycota; Agaricomycetes; Hymenochaetales; Trichaptaceae. The record is from RNAcentral.